This 29-nucleotide ribosomal RNA is filed under the name Taxus chinensis. RNAcentral's name for it is "partial 26S ribosomal RNA". The record is from RNAcentral. Lineage: Eukaryota; Viridiplantae; Streptophyta; Pinopsida; Cupressales; Taxaceae.
UCGGGAGGGUCCGUCUAUAACUCUUGCGG